Non-coding RNA from Cinara cedri, 251 nucleotides. NCBI's taxonomy places the organism in Eukaryota, Metazoa, Arthropoda, Insecta, Hemiptera, Aphididae. The record is from the annotation of a GenBank genome assembly.
CAAAGUAAAAACAAAAUUAUUAAAAUGGUUAAUAUUUGUAAAUAAAAUAUCCCCUGGAGUCAUAUAGCCCUUAGAAAUAAUUUCAAUUUAAAUAAAUGUCCUAUUAAAAAAUACAUAAAUGUAUUAAAGAAAAAAUAAUACACAGUCCACCAAAUAAUGUGGUUAACUAUUGUAGUAUGAAAUAUCAAAACAAUAUGUCUAACAAAUUCGUUAAAAUUCUGAACAAUAAUACAAAUGAUGUAAGAAUCGCU